CCUACGGGAGGCAGCAGUGAGGAAUAUUGGUCAAUGGACGAGAGUCUGAACCAGCCAAGUAGCGUGAAGGAUGACUGCCCUAUGGGUUGUAAACUUCUUUUAUAAAGGAAUAAAACGAGGCACGUGUGCCUUUUUGCAUGUACUUUAUGAAUAAGGAUCGGCUAACUCCGUGCCAGCAGCCGCGGUAAUACGGAGGAUCCGAGCGUUAUCCGGAUUUAUUGGGUUUAAAGGGAGCGUAGAUGGGUUGUUAAGUCAGUUGUAAAAGUUUGCGGCUCAACCGUAAAAUUGCAAUUGAUACUGGCAGUCUUGAGUACAGUUGAGGUAGGCGGAAUUCGUGGUGUAGCGGUGAAAUGCUUAGAUAUCACGAAGAACCCCGAUUGCGAAGGCAGCUUACUAAGCUGUGACUGACAUUGAUGCUCGAAAGUGUGGGUAUCAAACAGGAUUAGAUACCCGGGUAGUC
This 460-nucleotide ribosomal RNA is filed under the name uncultured bacterium. Its description in RNAcentral is "partial 16S ribosomal RNA". It matches the Rfam family "Bacterial small subunit ribosomal RNA", at positions 338 to 795 of the family's 1533-position model. The record is from RNAcentral.